This 498-nucleotide ribosomal RNA is filed under the name uncultured bacterium. RNAcentral's name for it is "partial 16S ribosomal RNA". It matches the Rfam family "Bacterial small subunit ribosomal RNA", at positions 29 to 507 of the family's 1533-position model. The record is from RNAcentral.
AACGAACGCUGGCGGCAUGCCUAACACAUGCAAGUCGAACGGAGCUUACUUCUGUAAUCUUAGUGGCGUACGGGAGAGUAACGCAUGGGCACCUUGCCUUCUAGAUAGGGACAACAUCCCGUACGGAUAGCUAAUACUGUCUGUGACAGCAAUAUCGCUUGCGGAUGCUUUGAAAGAUGGCCUCUUUUUUUAUGCUAUCGCUAGAGGCUGACCAUGCGUAUGAUUAGCUAGUUGUUGGGGUAACUGCCUACCAAGGCGAGGAUCAGUACCCGGUCUGAGAGGAUGAACUGCAACGCUGGGACGGAGACACGGCCCAGACUCCUACGGGAGGGACCAGGGGGGGAUCUUCAGGAAGGGGCGAAAGCGUGAAUGAUCAAUGCCGCGUGAGUGAUGAAGGAAGUCGUGCCGUGAAGGUCUUUAGUUUAUUACGAAUGUGCAGAUUGUAAAUAAGAAUCGAUAAUGACGGUAGUAAGCGAAUAAGCCACGGCUAACUACGUG